Struthio camelus australis is the source of this 1090-nucleotide non-coding RNA. NCBI's taxonomy places the organism in Eukaryota, Metazoa, Chordata, Aves, Struthioniformes, Struthionidae. The record is from RefSeq and is a predicted model, not a curated record.
CUUCCGAACACGUUGGAGGAAACUGAUGCUUUUCUGAAUGAGGAGAAAUCCAGGGCCUCCUGUUUCACAGGCCUGAAUGCUUCGGUUGUUGAAUAAUAUAAUAAGCAGACACAAGAAAUACAACAACUGAUGGAAAAACUAGAGGAAAAGAAAAAUGUGUUGGAUAGCUAUAAACAAAAUAUUUCACAGGUCAAAGAAAGAUGGCUAAACCCCUUGAAAAAGCUGGUUGAGCAAAUCAAUGAGAAGUUCAGUAACUUUUUUAAUUCUAUGCAGUGUGCUGGUGAAGUUGAUCUGAGGUAUGAUAUAAUUUUCAUGCAGAAGAAUAACAAACAUUUUCAUGCAUCUUCUUGCACUUAUAUAUUGCUAGAGAUAAAAUAAUAACUUGGCAUUUGGAUUAUAGGAAAGAUGAUCUCUAAAGGUUCUUCAUGUUUUUAACUGACAAACAAACUUUUUUUAAAUGCUAGAACUGACUGCUCAGUCUGACCAAAGCAAAAUAAGUCUUUGUCCAGUUGCAUAGGUGUUCAACUCUAUUGACUUUUGGAAGAUUCCUGCAACUGAAUAAACAAUCAUCUUUCUCUAAGACUAAAUUGCUGGGGUUUUUUUUAUCUUUUCACCAAAGGUUGAUUUUUGAGAAUGCCUUUUAGAUUUUAAAUUUCUGGAAAUGUUUUUACCUUCUGCCAAAGCAAUACCCUUCAGGGAAAGCGGCAAGUAUUUGAGCUGUGCAUUUAUCUAAAUUUUCAGAAUACUGUCCCAGCUUCCUUCUUUUCACUGUAGUAGGUUGAAGUGGGCAUCUUAGUUCUGAUUUUUUCCUCUCUGUUUUUCCCUAAUGUACAAUGUUCAGUUAGAAACAUUAUAUUUACUUUAGCUGUAACUCAGAUUUAUUAUGUUAGUGAUGUAAUUCUGCUUUUUUUGGCUAAUUUGUGCUAUUCUAUUACCAUAUAGUGGCUAUUUGGUUUUACACUGAUUUGGUUCUACAUGUGGUUAUUUUCAAGUCUGUUGGCAUUUUGACUUUUCUGGAGCAGUAGCAAUCAUUUGGACCAGCCUGUUAUGUCAUUGGUAACAUUUAUAGGCAGGAUUUACCUCUGAUGAA